AUGGUGGAGAAAGAACUGGAACACCCUCUUGUGCUGCUUCAUAUCUGCAAUGCUAUGCAAGAGAACUUUGCCGAGUUGAAGAUGAGCAUCCAAGAGCUACAACUAGUCCUUAAAAGAGGAGAUCAUGCCACUGCCAAUCUCAAAAUUGAGCCUUUCUUCCGUUCAGCAACGAAUAUGCAAAAGCAUUUCAAGAAAUACAGCAGCAAAGCUACUCCUGAAGGUCUCAGCCUUGUCAGGCUACUAGUAGAAGCCAGAGAGAUAGCUGUGUCCCUACUUGAAUGUACAUCAUACCUCAUGCCCAAGCAGACUGUCACAUCCAAUUCUAGCAAAUGGCAUCUGGUGUCCAAAUGGUUCCAGAAAAGAAAGUUGUAUGUGAGGAGGAUCAGCUACAAGCAUUAG
Molecule: ribosomal RNA, 399 nt
Filed under: Triticum aestivum (bread wheat)
Lineage: Eukaryota; Viridiplantae; Streptophyta; Magnoliopsida; Poales; Poaceae
Description: partial small subunit ribosomal RNA
Source: RNAcentral